RNAcentral lists this unclassified non-coding RNA (222 nucleotides) under plant metagenome. RNAcentral describes it as "partial contains small subunit ribosomal RNA, internal transcribed spacer 1, and 5.8S ribosomal RNA". The record is from RNAcentral.
UCUCCGUAGGUGAACCUGCGGAGGGAUCAUUACAGAGUUCAUGCCCUCACGGGUAGAUCUCCCACCCUGUGUUAUUAUACUUUGUUGCUUUGGCAGGCCGCCCGCGUGGGCUACCGGCUCCAGCUGAUAAGUGCCUGCCAGAGGACCCCAAACUCUGAAUAUUUUAUUGUCUGAGUACUAUAUAAUAGUUUAAAACUUUCAACAACGGAUCUCUUGGUUCUG